This 277-nucleotide ribosomal RNA is filed under the name uncultured bacterium. RNAcentral's name for it is "partial 16S ribosomal RNA". It matches the Rfam family "Bacterial small subunit ribosomal RNA", at positions 335 to 609 of the family's 1533-position model. The record is from RNAcentral.
UAUCCUACGGGGGGCAGCAGUGAGGAAUAUUGGUCAAUGGGCGGGAGCCUGAACCAGCCAAGUCGCGUGAGGGACGACGGUCCUAUGGAUUGUAAACCUCUUUUGUCGGGGAACAAAGGCGGUGACGCGUCUCCGGCUGAGUGUACCCGAAGAAAAAGCAUCGGCUAACUCCGUGCCAGCAGCCGCGGUAAUACGGAGGAUGCGAGCGUUAUCCGGCUUUAUUGGGUUUAAAGGGUGCGCAGGCGGGAGGUCCAGUCAGCGGUGAAAUAUCCGGGGU